This 568-nucleotide ribosomal RNA is filed under the name uncultured bacterium. RNAcentral describes it as "bacterial SSU rRNA". It matches the Rfam family "Bacterial small subunit ribosomal RNA", at positions 355 to 916 of the family's 1533-position model. The record is from RNAcentral.
UGGGGAAUUUUGGACAAUGGGGGCAACCCUGAUCCAGCAAUGCCGCGUGAGUGAAGAAGGCCUUCGGGUUGUAAAGCUCUUUUGUCAGGGAAGAAACGGUUAUUUCUAAUACAGAUGACUAAUGACGGUACCUGAAGAAUAAGCACCGGCUAACUACGUGCCAGCAGCCGCGGUAAUACGUAGGGUGCAAGCGUUAAUCGGAAUUACUGGGCGUAAAGCGUGCGCAGGCGGUUAUGCAAGACAGAUGUGAAAUGCCCGGGCUCAACCUGGGAACUGCAUUUGUGACUGCAUGGCUAGAGUGUGUCAGAGGGGGGUAGAAUUCCACGUGUAGCAGUGAAAUGCGUAGAGAUGUGGAGGAAUACCGAUGGCGAAGGCAGCCCCCUGGGAUAACACUGACGCUCAUGCACGAAAGCGUGGGGAGCAAACAGGAUUAGAUACCCUGGUAGUCCACGCCCUAAACGAUGUCGACUAGUUGUCGGGUCUUAAUUGACUUGGUAACGCAGCUAACGCGUGAAGUCGACCGCCUGGGGAGUACGGUCGCAAGAUUAAAACUCAAAGGAAUUGACGG